UAACGGCGAGUGAAGCGGGACUAGCUCAGGAUGUGAAUCUGCGCUUUUAUGGCGCCGAAUUGUGGUCUGUAGACUUUGACAUUAUUUGCCGGGCCAAGUUCCUUGGAAAAGGACAGCUGAGAGGGUGACACUCCCGUCCGCCUGGCAGAGUGAGUCAUUUGUCAACGAGUCGAGUUGUUUGGGAUUGCAGCUCUAAUUUGGUGGUAAAUUCCAUCUAAAGCUAAAUAUUGGUGGGAGACCGAUAGCGUACAAGUACCGUGAGGGAAAGAUGCAAAGAACUUUGAAAAGAGAGUUAAAGAGUACCUGAAACUGCUGAAACGGAAGCGAAGGAAACCAGUGUUUGUUUGUUCAUAUUUCCCUAGCCACUUGUGGCUUGGGCGCUGUGGGCUUGCGUGAGUUUGGGUUGGUUGAUUCCUUUGGAAGAGCGCAGUCAGAGUUGAUGUCUGUUGCUAGCACUGGAUUUGACUGAUGCAGACGAAAUGGUUUUCUUUACCCCGUCUUGAAACACGGACCAAGGAGUCUAACAUAUGUGCGAGUACAGGGGUGUCAAACCCCCGUGCGCAAUGAAAGUGACAGUGGUUGGAAUUUUUGCACAAUCCGCCGGCCUCAAUCCUUCGGGAGAACGGUCUGAGUGUGAGCAUACAUGUUGGGACCCGAAAGAUGGUGAACUAUGCCUGAAUAGGGUGAAG
Molecule: ribosomal RNA, 689 nt
Filed under: Pseudo-nitzschia multiseries
Lineage: Eukaryota; Bacillariophyta; Bacillariophyceae; Bacillariales; Bacillariaceae
Description: LSU rRNA
Rfam family: Eukaryotic large subunit ribosomal RNA
Source: RNAcentral